GAUGAACGCUGGCGGCGUGCCUAAUACAUGCAAGUCGAGCGAACAGAUGAGGAGCUUGCUCCUCUGACGUUAGCGGCGGACGGGUGAGUAACACGUGGAUAACCUACCUAUAAGACUGGGAUAACUUCGGGAAACCGGAGCUAAUACCGGAUAAUAUAUUGAACCGCAUGGUUCAAUAGUGAAAGACGGUUUUGCUGUCACUUAUAGAUGGAUCCGCGCCGCAUUAGCUAGUUGGUAAGGUAACGGCUUACCAAGGCAACGAUGCGUAGCCGACCUGAGAGGGUGAUCGGGCACACUGGAACUGAGACACGGUCCAGACUCCUACGGGAGGCAGCAGUAGGGAAUCUUCCGCAAUGGGCGAAAGCCUGACGGAGCAACGCCGCGUGAGUGAUGAAGGUCUUCGGAUCGUAAAACUCUGUUAUUAGGGAAGAACAAAUGAGUAAGUAACUAUGCACGUCUUGACGGUACCUAAUCAGAAAGCCACGGCUAACUACGUG
RNAcentral lists this ribosomal RNA (497 nucleotides) under uncultured bacterium. Its description in RNAcentral is "partial 16S ribosomal RNA". It matches the Rfam family "Bacterial small subunit ribosomal RNA", at positions 28 to 507 of the family's 1533-position model. The record is from RNAcentral.